GUGUUCACUUUGGAAGCAGAUAUACUAAAAUUGGAAUGAGGAUUAGCAGUGCAGUGCAAAGAUGACAUGCAGUUUGUGAAGUGUUCCAUAUUUUU
Molecule: small nuclear RNA, 95 nt
Filed under: Cervus elaphus hippelaphus
Lineage: Eukaryota; Metazoa; Chordata; Mammalia; Artiodactyla; Cervidae
Source: RNAcentral